Molecule: ribosomal RNA, 465 nt
Filed under: Vreelandella stevensii
Lineage: Bacteria; Pseudomonadati; Pseudomonadota; Gammaproteobacteria; Oceanospirillales; Halomonadaceae
Description: partial 16S ribosomal RNA
Rfam family: Bacterial small subunit ribosomal RNA
Source: RNAcentral
CCUGCGGGUGGCAGCAGUGGGGAAUAUUGGACAAUGGGGGCAACCCUGAUCCAGCCAUGCCGCGUGUGUGAAGAAGGCCCUCGGGUUGUAAAGCACUUUCAGUGAGGAAGAACGCCUGGUGGUUAAUACCCAUCAGGAAAGACAUCACUCACAGAAGAAGCACCGGCUAACUCCGUGCCAGCAGCCGCGGUAAUACGGAGGGUGCGAGCGUUAAUCGGAAUUACUGGGCGUAAAGCGCGCGUAGGUGGCUUGAUAAGCCGGUUGUGAAAGCCCCGGGCUCAACCUGGGAACGGCAUCCGGAACUGUCAAGCUAGAGUGAAGGAGAGGAAGGUAGAAUUCCCGGUGUAGCGGUGAAAUGCGUAGAGAUCGGGAGGAAUACCAGUGGCGAAGGCGGCCUUCUGGACUGACACUGACACUGAGGUGCGAAAGCGUGGGUAGCAAACAGGAUUAGAUACCCCAGUAGUC